CUUCCUCUUAGACAUAUCAGUGUUCCCAGGACAUCCUCUAAGAUAUAUCAGCGUUCCCAGGUCAUCCUCUUAGACAUAUCAGUGUUCCCAGGACAUCCUCUAAGACAUAUCAGCAUUCCCAGGUCAUCCUCUCAGACAUAUCAUCAUUCCCAGGUCAUCCUCUCAGACAUAUCAGCAUUCCCAGGUCAUCCUCUCAGACAUAUCAGCAUUCCCAGGUCAUCCUCUCAGACAUAUCAGCGUCCCUAGGUCAUCCUCUCAGACAUAUCUGCGUUCCCAGGUCAUCAGCUCAGACAUAUCAGUGUUCCCAGGUCAUCAAUCCUGUAAGACAUAUCAUAAUUCCCAGGUCAUCAACUUAGACAUAUCUGCCUUCCCAGGUCAUUUCCCUCUCAGACAUAUCAGCGAUCCCAGGUCAUCCUCUCAGACAUAUCAGGGUUCCCAGGUCAUCCUCUUAGACAUAUCAGCAUUCCCGGGUCAUCCUCUUAGACAUAUCAGCGUUCCCAGGUCAUCCUCUCAGACAUAUCAGCGUUCCCAGGUCAUCCUCUUAGACAUACCAGCGUUCCCAGGUCAUCCUCUUAGACAUAUCAGCGUUCCCAGGUCAUCCUCUCAGACAUAUCAGCAUUCCCAGGUCAUCCUCUCAGACAUAUCAGCAUCCCUAGGUCAUCCUCUCAGACAUAUCAGCAUUCCCAGGUCAUCCUCUCAGACAUAUCAGCAUUCCCAGGUCAUCCUCUCAGACAUAUCAGCGUCCCUAGGUCAUCCUCUCAGACAUAUCUGCGUUCCCAGGUCAUCCUCUUAGACAUUGAUGGUACUUGAGAGGAAUGAAUUUACAUGGUUGAGGACAGAAUUGUUGGGAUUAAACUACAAUGACAAUGAAGAUUCCUACUGAUGCUACUUUUGCUAUUGUUGGUGUGGUGUAACAGCUACUACUAUUACUGUUAACAAUUGUUUUGGGCUGUUUGUACUACUGUUUGAAUCAAAUCAAAUGUAUUUACAAAGCCCUUCUUACAUCAGCUGAUAUCUCAAAGUGCUGUACAGAAACCCAGCCUAAAACCCCAAACAGCAAGCAAUGCAGGUGUAGCAGCACGGUGGCUAGGAAAAACUCCCUAGAAAGGCCAAAACCUAGGAAGAAACCUAGAGAGGAACCAGGCUAUGAAGGGUGACCAGUCCUCUUCUGGCUGUGCCGGGUGGAGAUUAGAAACCCAGAGAGGAACCAGGCUAUGUGGGGUGGCCAGUCCUCUUCUGGCUGUGCUGGGUGGAGAUUAGAACAGAACAUGGCCAAGAUGAUCAAAUGCGCCAAGAUGAUUGAAGAUGCGACUGUUUGUUUAUUUUGUGUGGGGCGAGCCAUUGGAACUGCAGUACUAUGGACGUCUGGUUUGAUCUAACAGUUACUAACUUUGCUAACAAUCGCUAACACACGGUUGGUCUUUACGGACUUUUAAGAUAACUGGACUAACGAAGUACACACCUUUGUAUACAGGAUCAGAACACACACCGGCUUUAUCAAAAGGUUUUGCAAAAACAGUGCCUCUCCUCCAAUCCUGCCUCACCACCCCCAGUUCGUACUCCACCAUGGCUCCUCCCCUUCUAACUCCCCCACACCACCACUCAGGAUUUACCGCUUUCUGAUUGGCUGGCCCAGGGCUGACGGACAGAGACUCAGCCUGUGUACUAGGUCAUGUAAUUCCCAAUGCUCUGUGUGUUGCUUCGACCGGUUCUUCCUCUGAUGCUCCAUAUUAUCAACCAGACUUAGCAGGGGCCAUUUCCAUUCUUACCCCUGUGUACUUUAAUUCAUCCGUCGUGUCCCCUCUGCUCGCCAGAUGAUGUCAUGAUCUGUGGGGGAGGGGGGGGGUACGUAAGAUACAGGAAGGAGAAGUAGGCCGUUGUAAAUGAAAUGUCUUCAUGACGUUAUUGUGAUCUCUGUUAGCAUGUGUCAGCACUUUUAUUGAAUGGACUGUAUUAUAAACAUGAAUGUCUAGCGAUGUAAGGGAAGGGAAAAGGUCCUUGUAAAAUUGUCAGGACAUUAGGACGUGUACGUGUGCAUCAGCGUUAUUUUAACAAACAUUUUAUGGCUGUAUAUACAUACUGUAGGUAUUUUUGUUUAAAUUAAAAUGCAGCGAUAUGAAAACGUGAAUAUUUAAUUGCUCUUAUAAUAUAAAACAUGUUCUUGCUGUUGGAAA
This is a long non-coding RNA of Oncorhynchus tshawytscha (Chinook salmon), 2174 nucleotides long. Lineage: Eukaryota; Metazoa; Chordata; Actinopteri; Salmoniformes; Salmonidae. The record is from Ensembl.